Molecule: ribosomal RNA, 415 nt
Filed under: uncultured microorganism
Description: bacterial SSU rRNA
Rfam family: Archaeal small subunit ribosomal RNA
Source: RNAcentral
GUGCACCAGGCGAGAAACCUCCGCAAUGCGGGAAACCGCGACGGGGGACCCCGAGUGCCGUGGCAAUGCUACGGCUUUUCCGGAGUGUAAAAAGCUCCGGGAAUAAGGGCUGGGCAAGGCCGGUGGCAGCCGCCGCGGUAAUACCGGCGGCCCGAGUGGUGGCCGCUAUUAUUGGGCCUAAAGCGUCCGUAGCCGGGCCCGUAAGUCCCUGGCGAAAUCCCACGGCUCAACCGUGGGGCUUGCUGGGGAUACUGCGGGUCUUGGGACCGGGAGAGGCGAGGGGUACCCCCUGGGGUAGGGGUGAAAUCCUAUAAUCCCAGGGGGACCGCCAGUGGCGAAGGCGCCCCGGCUGGAACGGGUCCGACGGUGAGGGACGAAGGCCAGGGGAGCAAACCGGGAUUAGAUACCCCGUGUA